CUCCUGGAAACGGGUGGUAAUGCCGGAUGCUCCAGUUGAUCGCAUGGUCUUCUGGGAAAGCUUUCGCGGUAUGGGAUGGGGUCGCGUCCUAUCAGCUUGACGGCGGGGUAACGGCCCACCGUGGCUUCGACGGGUAGCCGGCCUGAGAGGGCGACCGGCCACAUUGGGACUGAGAUACGGCCCAGACUCCUACGGGAGGCAGCAGUGGGGAAUAUUGCACAAUGGGCGCAAGCCUGAUGCAGCGACGCCGCGUGAGGGAUGGAGGCCUUCGGGUUGUAAACCUCUUUUAUCGGGGAGCAAGCGAGAGUGAGUUUACCCGUUGAAUAAGCACCGGCUAACUACGUGCCAGCAGCCGCGGUAAUACGUAGGGUGCAAGCGUUAUCCGGAAUUAUUGGGCGUAAAGGGCUCGUAGGCGGUUCGUCGCGUCCGGUGUGAAAGUCCAUCGCUUAACGGUGGAUCCGCGCCGGGUACGGGCGGGCUUGAGUGCGGUAGGGGAGACUGGAAUUCCCGGUGUAACGGUGGAAUGUGUAGAUAUCGGGAAGAACACC
RNAcentral lists this ribosomal RNA (548 nucleotides) under Bifidobacterium longum. Its description in RNAcentral is "bacterial SSU rRNA". It matches the Rfam family "Bacterial small subunit ribosomal RNA", at positions 147 to 710 of the family's 1533-position model. The record is from RNAcentral. Lineage: Bacteria; Bacillati; Actinomycetota; Actinomycetes; Bifidobacteriales; Bifidobacteriaceae. RNAcentral also lists the same sequence under 1 other name.